Molecule: unclassified non-coding RNA, 511 nt
Filed under: Hevea brasiliensis (rubber tree)
Lineage: Eukaryota; Viridiplantae; Streptophyta; Magnoliopsida; Malpighiales; Euphorbiaceae
Source: RNAcentral
UGCGCUAAAGAUAUCCUUCUGGAAAAGAUUUGAACUGUAAUAUCCUAUGUCCAGCAAGAACCAGCAGACAGUGGUUCCAAGCAAGUGAAGCCCAUGUCUACGGGCAAAUUCCUUGGUGAAAAGACCAAAUGAAUUGGAUGGGUCAUGAGAUAUCUGCUCUACCUUCUGCUCUUCUGCUUCAAGCUCCACCUGCAGUACUCUAGACAUGUCUGAAGCUGCCUGCUUCGCAUUCUUUGCAACGAGAGCUGUGUAACGAGCUGUCUCAGGCAUCUUCAUUCGCCAGUAGUAAGUCAUGGCUGCUGGUACAGCUCCAAACAUCAAAAUGAUUCGCCAAACAUAGUCUGCUUCCGGCACGGUUGAGCCUAAUGGAUUAACUUCAUAAGUAGGGGCGCUGUAGGCAUGAUCAAAGGCAGCUGACACAAUCAGAGCAACAAUCCCACCAAUUAGAAUUCCAAAUCCUUGCAUUGCAAACACUGCGGCGAUAAAUGCCCCACGAGUCUUUUUAUUAGCA